Molecule: transfer RNA, 71 nt
Filed under: Candidatus Liptonbacteria bacterium
Lineage: Bacteria; Candidatus Liptoniibacteriota
Description: tRNA-Ala
Rfam family: tRNA
About the family: Transfer RNA (tRNA) molecules are approximately 80 nucleotides in length. Their secondary structure includes four short double-helical elements and three loops (D, anti-codon, and T loops).
Source: RNAcentral
GGGCUCAUAGUAAAGUGGUAUUACGCCUGCAUGGCAUGCAGGAGGCCGGGGUCCGAUUCCCCGUGGGUCCA